Molecule: long non-coding RNA, 1145 nt
Filed under: Mus pahari (shrew mouse)
Lineage: Eukaryota; Metazoa; Chordata; Mammalia; Rodentia; Muridae
Description: lncRNA (MGP_PahariEiJ_G0002990.1)
Source: RNAcentral
CUGCCUAGGAGUAGCACUGCUCACUAGGCUUGGCCUUUCCACAUCAAUCAUUAACCAAGAAAAUGCCCACAGACUUAUUUACAAGAAAUCUGAUGGAGGCAUCUUCUCAGUUGAAGUCCUUCUCAGAGGAUUAUAGCUUGUUGACAGAUACUAAGCACAGUAUACAUCUGUGGGUCUGGUUUCCAGGCUUGCCAAAGACCCCACAGCCACCUGGCUCUGGGUGCUAUGUUGUUUGAACAGGAUCCUGGGACUUCUAAGCAGGUUAUAGCCUGGGGGCUUUGUUAAAGGGUUCUUUGGAGGAGGGCUGGAGUGGGUCUGAGCCAUCAUUUACAAGGAAUUCCCAGAUAGUAAUGGCAAGGAGCACUGUGACUCCUAAGCAGUGGGGUGUUCCGAGUGCCUGCCAACUGUGCUUUGCUCAUCUCAUGCCUUGGACUCUGUGUGGUCAAAGCUUCCCUUAGGAGGUCUGUGGCUUCUACUGCAGCAGUGUUGCCAUAGGUGGGCAACUUAUCCUUAUCUCUGGGAUCUUCCUUUAGUUAUGGGUCCCAUCUAAUGUCACUGGACUUUGGGACAUGUUCUAAAGAUUUGCACUAAUGUGUGAGACAUUUAGUGUCACAACUGGAGUUAAAGCUGUGAGAUUUGGGGAUAAAGGCUCAUGAGCUGUGCACUGGGACUUGGGAAACGUUUUGGGGCAUCUUUCUGGGUUUAGGCAGUGGCCGACCUUGAGCACAUGGAACAUGUGUUUUGUCAGCCUUCUCCAGGAGUUGUUGGGUAGAGAAUGUGGUUACUCAGCCCUGUGGGUAUGGUUAAGAGCCAUUGCCAGGCACCCAUUCUGAUCACCCCAGACAGUUCUGGCUUUUUGGAAGUUCCUAGAGUAGCUCUAAAUCCUCAGAAAGCUCUGCUGUGUGGUGAACUGUGUGUGUGGCCUCUAGCUACCUUUAGAACCUUGUGUCUGUCAUAGAGUCGGAGCUCCUGCUGUUCUGCUGGGAUGAGCAAGGUUUUCAAGCAUACUCACUGCCUUCCUGAGGCUUCUUUCCCCCUCUUCUCAUGGGUCAUAGACUUAUAGCAUUGUUUCAUUUCAUUGUUCCAAUAAUUUUUAAGUAAAAUGUGAACUUUACCGUAUAGAUGAAAUAAAUUCUCAUUUUGAA